UACAGAGGGUGCAAGCGUUGUUCGGAAUUACUGGGCGUAAAGGGCACGUAGGCGGCCAACUAAGUCAGACGUGAAAUCCCCAGGCUCAACCUGGGAACUGCGUCUGAUACUGGAUGGCUCGAGUUCGGGAGAGGGAAGUGGAAUUCCAGGUGUAGCGGUGAAAUGCGUAGAUAUCUGGAGGAACACCGGCGGCGAAGGCGGCUUCCUGGACCGACACUGACGUUGAGGUGCGAAAGCCAGGGGAGCAAACGGG
This 253-nucleotide ribosomal RNA is filed under the name uncultured bacterium. Its description in RNAcentral is "partial 16S ribosomal RNA". It matches the Rfam family "Bacterial small subunit ribosomal RNA", at positions 524 to 776 of the family's 1533-position model. The record is from RNAcentral.